This 746-nucleotide ribosomal RNA is filed under the name cyanobacterium enrichment culture clone 2_16_2.2.5_B08-T7. RNAcentral's name for it is "bacterial SSU rRNA". It matches the Rfam family "Bacterial small subunit ribosomal RNA", at positions 65 to 852 of the family's 1533-position model. The record is from RNAcentral. Lineage: Bacteria; Bacillati; Cyanobacteriota.
AACGGGAUCCUUCGGGAUUUAGUGGCGGACGGGUGAGUAACGCGUGAGAAUCUGCCCUUAGGUUGGGGACAACAGUUGGAAACGACUGCUAAUACCCAAUGUGCCGAGAGGUGAAAGGUUAACUGCCUGGGGAUGAGCUCGCGUCUGAUUAGCUAGUUGGAGUGGUAACGGCACACCAAGGCGACGAUCAGUAGCUGGUCUGAGAGGAUGAUCAGCCACACUGGGACUGAGACACGGCCCAGACUCCUACGGGAGGCAGCAGUGGGGAAUUUUCCGCAAUGGGCGAAAGCCUGACGGAGCAAGACCGCGUGAGGGAGGAAGGCCUAUUGGUUGUAAACCUCUUUUGAUAGGGAAGAACACAAUGACGGUACCUAUCGAAUCAGCAUCGGCUAACUCCGUGCCAGCAGCCGCGGUAAUACGGAGGAUGCAAGCGUUAUCCGGAUUUAUUGGGCGUAAAGCGUCCGUAGGUGGCAAACCAAGUCAGUUGUUAAAGCGUAGAGCUUAACUCUAUAAGGGCAAUUGAAACUGGUUAGCUAGAGUGCGAUAGGGGCAAGGGGAAUUCCCAGUGUAGCGGUGAAAUGCGUAGAUAUUGGGAAGAACAUCGGUGGCGAAGGCGCCUUGCUGGGUCUGCACUGACACUGAGGGACGAAAGCUAGGGGAGCGAAAGGGAUUAGAUACCCCUGUAGUCCUAGCCGUAAACGAUGGAUACUAGGCGUUGUCCGUAUCGACCCGAGCCGUGCCGAAGC